This 202-nucleotide ribosomal RNA is filed under the name Parabacteroides sp. An277. RNAcentral's name for it is "partial 16S ribosomal RNA". It matches the Rfam family "Bacterial small subunit ribosomal RNA", at positions 1 to 192 of the family's 1533-position model. Lineage: Bacteria; Pseudomonadati; Bacteroidota; Bacteroidia; Bacteroidales; Tannerellaceae. The record is from RNAcentral.
UUCAACAAUGAAGAGUUUGAUCCUGGCUCAGGAUGAACGCUAGCGACAGGCUUAACACAUGCAAGUCGAGGGGCAGCGAUAGGUAGCAAUACUGAGUCGGCGACCGGCGCACGGGUGAGUAACGCGUAUGCAACCUGGCCUACAGAGGGGGAUAGCCCGGCGAAAGUCGGAUUAAUACCCCAUAAAACAGGGGAUCCGCAUG